GGAAUAUUGGACAAUGGGGGCAACCCUGAUCCAGCAAUGCCGCGUGUGUGAAGAAGGCCUGCGGGUUGUAAAGCACUUUCAGCGAGGAGGAAGGGUUGGUAGUUAAUAGCUGCUAAUUUUGACGUUACUCGCAGAAGAAGCACCGGCUAACUCCGUGCCAGCAGCCGCGGUAAUACGGAGGGUGCAAGCGUUAAUCGGAAUUACUGGGCGUAAAGCGCACGCAGGCGGCUUUUUAAGUCGGAUGGGAAAGCCCCGGGCUCAACCUGGGAAUUGCAUUCGAUACUGGGGAGCUAGAGUAUGUGAGAGGGGGGUAGAAUUCCAAGUGUAGCGGUGAAAUGCGUAGAGAUUUGGAGGAAUACCAGUGGCGAAGGCGGCCCCCUGGCACAAUACUGACGCUCAGGUGCGAAAGCGUGGGGAGCAAA
Molecule: ribosomal RNA, 422 nt
Filed under: uncultured bacterium
Lineage: Bacteria
Description: bacterial SSU rRNA
Rfam family: Bacterial small subunit ribosomal RNA
Source: RNAcentral